Long non-coding RNA from Populus euphratica (Euphrates poplar), 308 nucleotides. RefSeq lists it as uncharacterized. Lineage: Eukaryota; Viridiplantae; Streptophyta; Magnoliopsida; Malpighiales; Salicaceae. The transcript has 3 exons. The record is from RefSeq and is a predicted model, not a curated record.
AUUUUUUAAGGAAAUAACAAAGAAAAAACUAUAACAAGGAGUACUAGAAACAUUCAUAUCUUUAUGAUUUUUCCGUCUGCUGACUGUAUAGAUCUCCGUCUUUUAUUUCAGGGAAGAUACCAGUACAUAGCAUUGAAAAGAUGCACCUAACUUUGGAAAGUGAAUUUAAUUGGUAGAAUUACAGCUCCGCUCAUCUAGUUCUUGGCCACAAUGCAUGCUGUUUCACAUCGCUAAGAAAUGAAUACCCUGGUACAGACGCAACCACUAAGUUUGAACUAGUGAUGACUACCAUGGGGUUCACAAUACAA